AUCAACGCUGGCGGCGCGCCUAACACAUGCAAGUCGAACGAGAAAGCGGGGCAGCUCGCGAGUAAAGUGGCGUACGGGUGAGUAACACGUGGGUAAUCUACCCUUUGGUGGGGAAUAACCCUGGGAAACCGGGGAUAAUACCGCAUAAUCCCGAGAGGGAAAAGGAGAAAUCCGCCGAAGGAGGAGCCCGCGGCCGAUUAGCUAGUUGGUAGGGUAACAGCCUACCAAGGCCGAGAUCGGUAGCCGGCCUGAGAGGGCACACGGCCACACUGGCACUGAAACACGGGCCAGACUCCUACGGGAGGCAGCAGUGGGGAAUCUUGCACAAUGGGGGAAACCCUGAUGCAGCGACGCCGCGUGAGCGAUGAAGCCCUUCGGGGUGUAAAGCUCUUUCGGCAGGGAAGAUUAUGACGGUACCUGCAAAAGCAGCUGCGGCUAACUACGU
RNAcentral lists this ribosomal RNA (445 nucleotides) under uncultured bacterium. Its description in RNAcentral is "bacterial SSU rRNA". It matches the Rfam family "Bacterial small subunit ribosomal RNA", at positions 29 to 506 of the family's 1533-position model. The record is from RNAcentral.